UACGUAGGGGGCAAGCGUUGUCCGGAAUUAUUGGGCGUAAAGAGCGUGUAGGCGGUCCGGUAAGUCAGCUGUGAAAGUCAAGGGCUCAACCCUUGAAAGCCGGUUGAUACUGUCGGGCUAGAGUCCGGAAGAGGCGAGUGGAAUUCCCGGUGUAGCGGUGAAAUGCGCAGAUAUCGGGAGGAACACCAAUGGCGAAGGCAGCUCGCUGGGACGUUACUGACGCUAAGACGCGAAAGCGUGGGGAGCAAACAGG
Molecule: ribosomal RNA, 253 nt
Filed under: uncultured bacterium
Lineage: Bacteria
Description: partial 16S ribosomal RNA
Rfam family: Bacterial small subunit ribosomal RNA
Source: RNAcentral